RNAcentral lists this long non-coding RNA (1156 nucleotides) under Brassica napus (rape). RNAcentral's name for it is "long non-coding RNA (BNAP_LNC014546)". Lineage: Eukaryota; Viridiplantae; Streptophyta; Magnoliopsida; Brassicales; Brassicaceae. The record is from RNAcentral.
AACAUUUCACAAAUUUAGAAAGUUUUUUAAAAAUUAAAUUUUUCGCUUCAUAGAUUUAUAUUAUCGAGUAAAUAAUUAAACAUUUAUUUUUUGUUUAAUUUUUAAAAUAAACUAUAUAGUUUAGAAUUUGUUUUCAUUCAUUGGUUUAAGGUUCACCCCUGUGGUGAAUAGUUAAAUUCACCACACUCUUCAUAACCAAUUAAAGUGCAAUGUAGAAGUAGUUAAAAAAGGCAAUAAAAAUAAAAAAAUAGCUAAAAAAAAAACAACACCGACAUUAAUUAACGCCGUCUAAGAACCUAAACUCUAAAACCAUAAAUCCCAAUCCGAAACACUAAACCCUAAAUCCAAAUCCUAAAACCCAAACUCUAAAUCUUAAACCUUAAACCCAAACUCUCAACAAUAAACCUUAAAUCCUAAAAUCUAAACCCUAAACCCAAAACUCUAAACCAUAAACCCUAAAAUCUAAACCCUAAAUCCUAAAUCCUAAACCCAAAACUCUAAACCCAAAACUUCAAAUCCUAAACCCUAAACUCUAAAUCCUAAACCCUAAACCCAAACCUCUAAACCGUAAACCCAUCUGCUAGUUUAUAAGAUUAAGGUUUACGGUUUAGAGGUUUGGGUUUAAGAUUUAAAGUUUUGGGUUUAGAGUUUAUGAUUUAGGGUUUGGGUUUAAGAUUUAAAGUUUUGGGUUUAGGGUUUAGAUUUUUGGAUUUGGGGUUUAGGGUUUAGAGUUUUGGGUUUGGGCUUUAGGGUUUAGAUUUUAGGAUUUAGGGUUUAUUGUGUAGAGUUUGGGUUUAGGGUUUAAGAUUUAGGGUUUAGAUUUUACGAUUGGGGUUUAUGGUUUAGUGUUUUGGAUUUAGGGUUUAUGGUUUUAGAGUUUAGGUUUUUAGAAUUUAAAAUUUUGCAGAUGGCGCUAAUUAAUGUCGGUGUUGUUUUUUUUCAACUAUUUAAGUUUUUAUUUUUAUUAUUUUUUUAAACUAUUCCUACAUGGCAUUUUGGUUGGUUAUGAAGAGUGUGGUGAAUUUAACCAUUCACCAUAGGGGUGAACCUAAGUAUUGUUCUUGUUUAAAUCCAGUUAUUGAUAGCCCAAUAAAAAAAUUUUGUAGGCCCAAAAUUUAAAUGAUAAGAUUAGAGAUUAAAUGCAACAUUAUUUAUA